GUGCUAUGAUGAUGAUUGCCUGUUUUCUUUGCCGUGGGUUCUUCAGGUGGAGGAGCAGAAAGAAGUUGGACGUGCUCUCCCAACGAGGUGUUGGUCAAUGCCCUUGUCAGCAGUGGUCGCACCUGCGUUCUUGUGUCCGAGGAGGACGAGGAGGCUUCAUACUUGGACCGAAAGCUCCGUGGGAAGUACUGUGUCUGCUUUGAUCCCCUGGAUGGCUCCUCCAACAUCGACUGCGGCAUGCCCAUCGGAAUGGUAUGCGCACAAGUAAUUUCACCGCUUAAAAGGUUGAACGGAACACACAAUUAAUAAGAAGUUGGAGUCACUAUCUGACUUGAUUUGAUUGUCGGGCGCAUGGAUAAAACAUGAUAGUCACAUCAGGAAAGGCGAUUUCAAAAGGAGCAUGAACCGCU
Long non-coding RNA from Triticum urartu, 410 nucleotides. RefSeq lists it as uncharacterized. Lineage: Eukaryota; Viridiplantae; Streptophyta; Magnoliopsida; Poales; Poaceae. The record is from RefSeq and is a predicted model, not a curated record.